UAAUACGUAGGUGGCAAGCGUUAUCCGGAAUUACUGGGCGUAAAGCGCACGCAGGCGGCGCAGCAAGUUCGACGUGAAAGCUCCCGGCUUAACUGGGAGAGGUCGUUGAAGACUGCUGUGCUUGAGGCAAGGAGAGGGGUGUAGAAUUCCCGGUGUAGUGGUGGAAUGCGUAGAUAUCGGGGGGAAUACCAGUGGCGAAAGCGGCACCCUAGCCUUAGCCUGACGCUCAGGUGCGAAAGCGUGGGGAGCGAACGGGAUUAGAUACCCCGGUAGUCCACGCUGUAAACGAUGAACACUAGGUGUAGGUGAUGUGAAAGUUAUCUGUGCCGAAGCCAACGCGUUAAGUGUUCCGCCUGGGGAGUACGGCCGCAAGGCUA
RNAcentral lists this ribosomal RNA (377 nucleotides) under uncultured bacterium. Its description in RNAcentral is "bacterial SSU rRNA". It matches the Rfam family "Bacterial small subunit ribosomal RNA", at positions 521 to 896 of the family's 1533-position model. The record is from RNAcentral.